Molecule: ribosomal RNA, 252 nt
Filed under: Schizochytrium aggregatum
Lineage: Eukaryota; Bigyra; Thraustochytrida; Thraustochytriidae
Description: partial Bacterial large subunit ribosomal RNA
Rfam family: Bacterial large subunit ribosomal RNA
Source: RNAcentral
AGCGCCAGCUUUCGUGGAGCCAUCCUUGAAAUACGGCCCUUUGGCUGUCUGAGGUCUAACGCGCCUAUGGUGCGGACACUGCUUGGUGGGUAGUUUGACUGGGGUGGUCGCCUCCAAAAGCGUAACGGAGGCUUCCAAAGGUGCCCUCGGGCCGAUUGGUAACCGGCCUUAUAGAGUGCAAUGGCAUAAGGGCGCUUGACUGGGAGGCAGACAUGCCGAGCAGGCAGGAAACUGGGGCAUAGUGAUCCGGCG